RNAcentral lists this ribosomal RNA (467 nucleotides) under uncultured bacterium. RNAcentral describes it as "partial 16S ribosomal RNA". It matches the Rfam family "Bacterial small subunit ribosomal RNA", at positions 29 to 507 of the family's 1533-position model. The record is from RNAcentral.
ACGAACGCUGGCGGCGUGCUUAACACAUGUAAGUCGAACGGAAAGGCCCUGCUUUUGUGGGGUGCUCGAGUGGCGAACGGGUGAGUAACACGUGAGUAACCUGCCCUUGACUUUGGGAUAACUUCAGGAAACUGGGGCUAAUACCGGAUAGGAGCUCCUGCUGCAUGGUGGGGGUUGGAAAGUUUCGGCGGUUGGGGAUGGACUCGCGGCUUAUCAGCUUGUUGGUGGGGUAGUGGCUUACCAAGGCUUUGACGGGUAGCCGGCCUGAGAGGGUGACCGGCCACAUUGGGACUGAGAUACGGCCCAGACUCCUACGGGAGGCAGCAGUGGGGAAUAUUGCACAAUGGGCGGAAGCCUGAUGCAGCAACGCCGCGUGCGGGAUGACGGCCUUCGGGUUGUAAACCGCUUUCGCCUGUGACGAAGCGUGAGUGACGGUAAUGGGUAAAGAAGCACCGGCUAACUACGUG